This is a small nucleolar RNA of Ochotona princeps (American pika), 70 nucleotides long. The record is from Ensembl. Lineage: Eukaryota; Metazoa; Chordata; Mammalia; Lagomorpha; Ochotonidae.
GUGCACCGAUGAGAUAGUUUUACAACUGACCUUUGCAACUAUGAAGUUUUCUAUUCCUGUGCCAAGAUCA